UGACACUUAAGUCAGAGCAUUCUGUAGCUGUAUUUUACAGAACUGUAAUUGCACAGAUUGUUCCUCUUACAAGAGAAAUAUCCAGAGCUCUAAGAAAACAACUGAUGAAAACGACAUGCGUGACAUUUGGUGCUGAAGACCCAGGUCAGAGAGACUCCUUUGGGGGACCAGUCCGCUGUCCUUGCCCUCACUCUGUGAGGAGACCCACCUACGACCUCGGGUCCUCAGACCAACCAGCUCAAGGAACAUCUCACCAAUUUCAAAUCGGAAGACGGGAAUGUCAGGCCUCUGAGCCCAAGCCUGCACAUAUACAUCCAGAUGGCCUGAAGCAAGUGAAGAAUCACAAAAGAAGUGAAAAUGGCUGGUUCCUGCCUUAACUGAUGACAUUCCACCAUUGUGAUUUGUUCCUGCCCCACCUUAACUGAGUGAUUAACCUUGUGAAAUUCCUUUCCUGGCUCAGAAGCUCCCCCACUGAGCACCUUGUGACCCCCGCCCCUGCCCAUAAGAGAGCAAACCCCUUUGACUGUAAUUGUCCACUACCCACCCAAAUCCUGUAAAACAGCCCCACCCCUAUCUCCCUUCCCUGACUCUCUUUUUGGACUCAGCCCACCUGCAACCAGGUGAAAUAAACAGCCUUGUUGCUCACACAAAGCCUGUUUGGUCGUCUCUUCACGCGGACGUGCGUGACAAUGGGCUCAAGUCGUCCUCCCACCUCAGCCUCCUGAAUAGCUAGGGACUACAGGCAUGCACCACCAUGCCUGGCUAAUUUUUGUAUUUUUUGUAGAGAAAGAGUUUCACCAUGUUUCCCAGGCUGGUCUUGAACUCUUGAGCUCAAGCGAUCUGUCUGCCUUGGUCUCCCAAAGUGCUGGGAUUACAGGGAUGAGCCACCAUGCCCGGCCUUGAAUAGCCACUUUGGAUCCCCAUUUGAAACUCCCUUCUGUUGGAAUUCCAAAAACUUUUCUGCACAGUCCUCUACCCAAAUGCCCUUGUGUAAUAUACACCUCUGUGUUACAGUCUUGUUGCAGACAAAGUGCAAAUACUAGGGUUCAGGUGAGGCCAUUCCAAAUUAUUUUCAAGGAAUGAGGUUUGCUUCUAAAGAUGCCUGUUUGAGAUGUUUCAGAGCCCACCUUCCUGAAGAUGUAUAUUGGUAUCUGAUACAAUGAACUUUGAUGUAUACUCAUUGAUCCAGUACUUAAAGAUGGACUAUUAUUGAAUGUUCUUGACAAGAGAAAUGACAUUAUAGAAGUCUAGAGUUCACCUAGUAUGCCAACAUGACUAUAGCAGUUGUUAGAAUUUUGACAUACAGCUGACCCUUGAACAAGGCAGGGGUUAGGGGUGCUGAGCCUCAUGUAGUCAAAAAUAUGCAUGUAACUUUUGAUUAUCCCAAAUCUUAAUAGCCUGCUGUUAACCAAAAGUCUCACUGAUAACACA
This 1431-nucleotide long non-coding RNA is filed under the name Homo sapiens (human). RNAcentral describes it as "HSALNT0369292". Lineage: Eukaryota; Metazoa; Chordata; Mammalia; Primates; Hominidae. The record is from RNAcentral.